This 2183-nucleotide long non-coding RNA is filed under the name Sus scrofa (pig). Its description in RNAcentral is "lncRNA (ENSSSCG00035031763.1)". Lineage: Eukaryota; Metazoa; Chordata; Mammalia; Artiodactyla; Suidae. The record is from RNAcentral.
AUGGCCGCACCCAUGGCAUAUGGAAGUUCCUGGACUAGGGACUGAAUCUGAGCCGCAGGUGCGGCAGAGCCAGAUCCUUUAACCCACUGUGCUGGGCCGGGGAUAGAAACCGAGCCUCUACAGUCAGAUUCUUAACCAACUGCACCACAGUAGGAACCCCAACAUUCGACAUUUGAUGGUGCAGAUACCUCCUUCUUCCUUCAGUGUAAAUAUUCUAAUACAAAUAUUUUUAUUAAUUGCCCCCCGCCAAAAAACAACAAAAAACCAAAAAGCACAAUAAAAAAAUUGGACCUUACCAAACCACCUGUAGGGCUUGCUUGCCCCUCUGGUACACUCUUCCACCCUGUGUCUUGCCUUGGUAAUGCCUGAUGGGUCACCCGAUAGGCUUCAACCUAGACAUCACACAUUUCUUCAGGAACCUUCCCUUCCACUAUGCUCCUGUCACCAGGGGUGUAGUACUAGGGGAAUCACACCUGAUAGCAAUUGCUCAUUUAUUUAGUACCCUCCAGCAUAUACAUUAAAUACAUCUGUAAGUACUUGCUGACUAUUCCACUAGGUAAUAGGCACCACCCAACCUGGGAAAGAUGAUUGGUGCCUUCCCCGUAGAGCCUAGUCCAAGCUUUUGUUUUGUUUGUCCUUUUAUAGCCACACCUAUGGCAUAUGGAAGUUCCCAGGUGCAGCCCUAAAAGGACAAAAGACCAAAAAUAAAUAAAUCAACUGCAGCUUGUGUUAAGCUUAAUCCACUGAGCAAGGCCAAGGGUUGAAUCUACAUCUUCACGGACACUUUGUGGGGUUCUUAACCCACUGAGCCACAAGAGGAACUCCUUGUUUUGUUUUUAAAUGGCUUUAUUGAGAUUUAGUCCAUGGACUAUGCAAUUCACCCAUUUAAGAUGUAAAAUUUGGGAGUUCCUGGGUGGCACAGUGGGUUAAGGAUUUUGCGAUGUCAUUGCUAUGGCUUGUAUUACCGCUGUGGCGCAGGUAAGAUCCCUGGCCCAGGAACUUCUGCAUACUGCAUGUAUAUGGCCAAAAAUAAAUAAAUAAAAUGUACAAUUUAGUGGCUUUUAGUAUAUUUACAAAGUUCAUCACCACAAUCAGUUUUAAAGUUUUCAUCAACCCCAAAAGAAACUUCGCACUCCUUAGGUAUCAUCGCUGGGGCCUCUGCAUCCCCUUCCCUUCCCCAUCACCCAGCCCCUGAGGUAACCACCAAUCUAGUGUAACCACAGAUCCUAUAGAUUUGCCUAUUCUGGAUAUUUCUUAUGUGAAUCAGGUUAGGUCUUCCCCAUCUUACCCAGUUCUGAGAUUCUUCUAAGAACUUCCCUGGAGAUUCAAAUUCAGAGAUCAGAGAAUCUGGUGGGUUCCCCCCCCCCCCCCCCCGCUUUUUAGGGCCGCACCUGCAGCAUAUGGAAGUUCCCAGGCUAGGGGUUUGAAUCGGCGCCACAGCUGCUGGACCACAGCACAACCACAGCCACGUGAGAUCCGAGCCAUGUCUUCCACCUACACCACAGCUCACAGCAACUCCGAAUCCCCAACCCACUGAGUGAGGCCAGGGAUUGAACCUGCACCCUCAUGGAUCCUAGUCGGGUUCGUUAACCAAUGAGCUACAAAGGGAACUCUGGAAUCUGUAUUUUUAACAUGGGGUCUUCUCUAAAGAGUCAAUUCUCUAUUUAAUCAGACUGCAUCUGCCUUUACUGUCUCCAGCAACCAAGGCCAAAUGUAUAGUAGUUGUCAACAAAUAGCUUUUGAUGACUACCUCUAAAACUUAACACAAUCAAGCAUUUUGAGUAUGGCGAGUCCCCUUGUGGCUUGGCAGGUUGGGGACAAUAUAGGCAGGGAGGAGUGAGAUCAGACUAGUAGAGGAGGCAAAUUGAAUCCACAGAGGCCAAAGGUGGCAAUUAGAAAGGGGCUUGUGGAGUGGCUGAAGAGUUUGGGAUUUAUUACCUCUAGGGUACUGGAGAGUCAUCCAUGGGCUUGAAGCAGGGGAAUUAUGAGAUCACAUCUGGGCUGUGCAGUUGUGUAGGGGGAGGAGGCAGGAAGCAGUGAAGAGUCUAAAGAUGUGGUCAGAAGUGAUAGUGCCUGAGCCAGGUUGGAGGCAGUGGGGAUAGAGAGAUUAGAGUGAAGAGAUAUCCCAAAGGCAGAAUGGACAAUUUAGAGAUUGAUGGGAUGUGGGAGAUGAGAGAAUGAAG